This 200-nucleotide ribosomal RNA is filed under the name uncultured bacterium. RNAcentral's name for it is "partial 16S ribosomal RNA". It matches the Rfam family "Bacterial small subunit ribosomal RNA", at positions 288 to 516 of the family's 1533-position model. The record is from RNAcentral.
UACUCCUACGGGAGGCAGCAGCCGCGGUAAUACUCCUACGGGAGGCAGCAGUGGGGAAUAUUGCACAAUGGGCGAAAGCCUGAUGCAGCGACGCCGCGUGAGGGAUGACGGCCUUCGGGUUGUAAACCUCUUUCAGUAAGGAAGAAGCGAAAGUGACGGUACUUGCAGAAGAAGCGCCGGCUAACUACGUGCCAGCAGCC